UAGGGAAUCUUCCACAAUGGGCGAAAGCCUGAUGGAGCAACGCCGCGUGGGUGAAGAAGGUCUUCGGAUCGUAAAACCCUGUUGUUAGAGAAGAAAGUGCGUGAGAGUAACUGUUCACGUUUCGACGGUAUCUAACCAGAAAGCCACGGCUAACUACGUGCCAGCAGCCGCGUAAUAUGUGA
This 182-nucleotide ribosomal RNA is filed under the name uncultured bacterium. Its description in RNAcentral is "partial 16S ribosomal RNA". It matches the Rfam family "Bacterial small subunit ribosomal RNA", at positions 355 to 530 of the family's 1533-position model. The record is from RNAcentral.